RNAcentral lists this ribosomal RNA (340 nucleotides) under uncultured soil bacterium. Its description in RNAcentral is "bacterial SSU rRNA". It matches the Rfam family "Bacterial small subunit ribosomal RNA", at positions 26 to 371 of the family's 1533-position model. The record is from RNAcentral.
AGAUUGAACGCUGGCGGCAUGCUUUACACAUGCAAGUCGAACGGUAACAGGCCGCAAGGUGCUGACGAGUGGCGAACGGGUGAGUAAUGUAUCGGAACGUGCCCAGUCGUGGGGGAUAACGCAGCGAAAGCUGCGCUAAUACCGCAUACGAUCUAUGGAUGAAAGCGGGGGACCGUAAGGCCUCGCGCGAUUGGAGCGGCCGAUAUCAGAUUAGGUAGUUGGUGGGGUAAAGGCUCACCAAGCCAACGAUCUGUAGCUGGUCUGAGAGGACGACCAGCCACACUGGGACUGAGACACGGCCCAGACUCCUACGGGAGCAGCAGUGGGGAAUUUUGGACAA